This 67-nucleotide transfer RNA is filed under the name Clypeobarbus pleuropholis. Its description in RNAcentral is "tRNA-Arg". Lineage: Eukaryota; Metazoa; Chordata; Actinopteri; Cypriniformes; Cyprinidae. The record is from RNAcentral.
GGGAAUUAGUCCAGAAUAAGACUCUGGCUUCGACCCAGAAGACCGUGGGGUGGUACCACGAUUCCCG